GCCGUGGUUGCCUAGCCUGGUAAGGCGCAGGAUUGCUAAUCCUGUCUCCGCAAGGAAUCGUGGGUUCAAAUCCCACUCACGGCG
This 84-nucleotide transfer RNA is filed under the name Nitrososphaerota archaeon. Its description in RNAcentral is "Thaumarchaeota archaeon (marine metagenome) tRNA-Ser". It matches the Rfam family "tRNA". Rfam says of the family: Transfer RNA (tRNA) molecules are approximately 80 nucleotides in length. Their secondary structure includes four short double-helical elements and three loops (D, anti-codon, and T loops). RNAcentral also lists the same sequence under 1 other name. Lineage: Archaea; Thermoproteati; Nitrososphaerota. The record is from RNAcentral.